RNAcentral lists this ribosomal RNA (923 nucleotides) under Salmonella enterica. RNAcentral describes it as "partial 23S ribosomal RNA". It matches the Rfam family "Bacterial large subunit ribosomal RNA", at positions 1273 to 2179 of the family's 2925-position model. The record is from RNAcentral. Lineage: Bacteria; Pseudomonadati; Pseudomonadota; Gammaproteobacteria; Enterobacterales; Enterobacteriaceae.
CUGGAGGUAUCAGAAGUGCGAAUGCUGACAUAAGUAACGAUAAAGCGGGUGAAAAGCCCGCUCGCCGGAAGACCAAGGGUUCCUGUCCAACGUUAAUCGGGGCAGGGUGAGUCGACCCCUAAGGCGAGGCCGAAAGGCGUAGUCGAUGGGAAACGGGUUAAUAUUCCCGUACUUGGUGUUACUGCGAAGGGGGGACGGAGAAGGCUAUGUUGGCCGGGCGACGGUUGUCCCGGUUUAAGCGUGUAGGUGUGUGUUCCAGGUAAAUCCGGUUCACUUUAACACUGAGGCGUGACGACGAGGCACUACGGUGCUGAAGCAACAAAUGCCCUGCUUCCAGGAAAAGCCUCUAAGCAUCAGGUAACAUCAAAUCGUACCCCAAACCGACACAGGUGGUCAGGUAGAGAAUACCAAGGCGCUUGAGAGAACUCGGGUGAAGGAACUAGGCAAAAUGGUGCCGUAACUUCGGGAGAAGGCACGCUGACACGUAGGUGAAGUGAUUUACUCAUGGAGCUGAAGUCAGUCGAAGAUACCAGCUGGCUGCAACUGUUUAUUAAAAACACAGCACUGUGCAAACACGAAAGUGGACGUAUACGGUGUGACGCCUGCCCGGUGCCGGAAGGUUAAUUGAUGGGGUCAGCGCAAGCGAAGCUCCUGAUCGAAGCCCCGGUAAACGGCGGCCGUAACUAUAACGGUCCUAAGGUAGCGAAAUUCCUUGUCGGGUAAGUUCCGACCUGCACGAAUGGCGUAAUGAUGGCCAGGCUGUCUCCACCCGAGACUCAGUGAAAUUGAACUCGCUGUGAAGAUGCAGUGUACCCGCGGCAAGACGGAAAGACCCCGUGAACCUUUACUAUAGCUUGACACUGAACAUUGAGCCUUGAUGUGUAGGAUAGGUGGGAGGCUUUGAAGUGUGGACGCCAGUCUGC